Molecule: non-coding RNA, 73 nt
Organism: Pangasianodon gigas (Mekong giant catfish)
Lineage: Eukaryota; Metazoa; Chordata; Actinopteri; Siluriformes; Pangasiidae
Source: the annotation of a GenBank genome assembly
GGCACGGUGGCGUAGUGGUUAGCGCGCCUGCCUCUCACCUCCGAGCCGCAGGUUCGAAUCACGCCUCCUGUGG